RNAcentral lists this ribosomal RNA (250 nucleotides) under uncultured bacterium. RNAcentral describes it as "partial 16S ribosomal RNA". It matches the Rfam family "Bacterial small subunit ribosomal RNA", at positions 32 to 274 of the family's 1533-position model. The record is from RNAcentral.
AAUCAACGCUGGCGGCGUGCCUCAGACAUGCAAGUCGAACGAUUAAGACUCUCUUCGGAGAGUGCAUAAAGUGGCGCACGGGUGAGUAACACGUAAGUAAUCUACCCUCGGGUGGGGAAUAACGUCCGGAAACGGACGCUAAUACCGCAUAACGCAGCAACGUCUAUGACGAUGCUGUUAAAGGAGCAAUUCGCCUGGGGAGGAGCUUGCGGCAGAUUAGCUUGUUGGUAGGGUAACGGCCUACCAAGGC